Molecule: long non-coding RNA, 1521 nt
Organism: Leptinotarsa decemlineata (Colorado potato beetle)
Lineage: Eukaryota; Metazoa; Arthropoda; Insecta; Coleoptera; Chrysomelidae
Source: RefSeq, a predicted model, not a curated record
UUUCCUAGCAACGCUAUAAGUACAACAGCCUUACCUGUUUAGAAAUUCAAAUUUCACAUCGAUAAUUUUCCGACUUUAACAUAGGGGAAGGAUGGAUAAAGUGGCCCAGGCAGGUAAAGUGGCCACCUUCUGUUUCCGGACGAACCAAUAUAAGCUAUAGGUCUAAGACAUAUUGAAAUAAUUCAUCGGUUGACGCCAUAUUGCCUCCGUAAACACCGGCCGGGUCAGUGCUCGUCUUCAGAUUUUAUGGUGGAAUAAUUGUGUUUUGUGGUAUCUGAUCUAAUGUGAGUGAUCUGAACAUAGUUAAAAAGUAAUGUCAUCAGUUUCAUAGAAAGACAAUGCACAAUUUUAUCGAUUUGGUGGAUCAAUUGACCUAUCCAUUGUGCUGCAAAGUAGGUCAAUAUAACCUCAUUUUCCAUUUUUAGUAUAUUUUUUUCACCGCAUGCUAAAUCGGGUAAAAUAGCCCACCAAUAGAGGCAAUGGAUAAAGCUAUACAAGCUGUACGAAAAGGUGAAAUAGGAUUCUUGAAAGCAAGCAAAACUUUCAGUGUUCCUCCAACAACUCUCAAACGUCGUUGAAAAUAUAAAAAUACUGGAGCCUCGUCGUCCAAUUUUUAUUCCAAAACAAGAGGAAGAAUUGGUGCAACAUAUUUUAGAACUGGAAAACAUUGAAUCAGGACGUUAAUAUAAGUACCCAGGUAACACCAGCUGCAGUUACUCCAUCGACAUUUGAUCCUUACUUGAACCCACAACCUAGAACAUCCUUCGCAAUAUCGCCUUGCCACAUAUUUUCGAUUCCCAAAGCAUUGCCAAAGACUAGAAAUGUGAAUAGAAAGAGACGGCGUUCGGUAGUUUUAACCAGCAGCCCAUAUAAAAAUGAGUUAUAAGGAGAAUCAAUACAGCAAGAACAAAAGAAAGCUACAAAGAAAGUGAAAAAAUCUACUAUUGAACAAACCCCAACUGAAUCUGGCAAAAAACCUAAAACUGAAAUAAAAAAACGUGGCAGGACCGUUGCUAAAAAGAAAAAUGAUAAAUAUAAUGACGACGAUAUAAUGACACAGAUGAUGACUCUGAAUGCUUUUACUGUUUCGAAGUUUGGUCUGAAUCAAAACAUAAAGAUGGUUGGAUAUAGUGUUGUAAUUGUACCCGACGGGCACAUUAAGCGUGCUCGGGUUGUGAUAACAACUAUGGUAACUUUCAUAGUGAAUUUUGUUCUUAAGAAUAUUUUCAAUUAGGUACGAUUAUGAAUGAACAUAUAUAAAUGAAGAGGUGGUUACUUAUAUUCUAUAGAUUAGUAACUAAAAGCUGAUUAUAUUUGUUAUUAAUGAAUAAUUAAGAAGAAGCUGUUGAUAAGUGAAUAAGGACUUUAUGAUAAGUAAGAAUAAGUAUGUUUAAAUUAAGAAAAAUGAAAGACUGUUGAUUGUUGUGAAUUAAUACAAUACUUUUUUAGUUAAAAACUGUUGUUCAAGUUAAAUAUUUUUUCCAUGCAAAAUUUCAAUAAAUCUCCAUUAAAAUAACAUAA